This 253-nucleotide ribosomal RNA is filed under the name uncultured bacterium. Its description in RNAcentral is "partial 16S ribosomal RNA". It matches the Rfam family "Bacterial small subunit ribosomal RNA", at positions 524 to 776 of the family's 1533-position model. The record is from RNAcentral.
UACGUAGGGGGCAAGCGUUGUCCGGAUUUACUGGGUGUAAAGGGCGCGCAGGCGGAUUAGCAAGUCAGAGGUGAAAUCUCCCGGCUUAACCGGGAAACUGCCUUUGAAACUGUUAAUCUUGAGUACGGAAGAGAGAAGCGGAAUUCCAGGUGUAGUGGUGAAAUACGUAGAUAUCUGGAAGAGCACCAGUUGCGAAGGCGGCUUCUUGGUCCGUUACUGACGCUCAGGCGCGAAAGCGUGGGGAGCAAACAGG